CGCGGGGUGGAGCAGCUCGGUAGCUCGCUGGGCUCAUAACCCAGAGGUCGCAGGUUCGAAUCCUGUCCCCGCUACAA
Molecule: transfer RNA, 77 nt
Filed under: Mycobacterium gordonae
Lineage: Bacteria; Bacillati; Actinomycetota; Actinomycetes; Mycobacteriales; Mycobacteriaceae
Also listed under: 7 other names
Description: tRNA-Met
Rfam family: tRNA
About the family: Transfer RNA (tRNA) molecules are approximately 80 nucleotides in length. Their secondary structure includes four short double-helical elements and three loops (D, anti-codon, and T loops).
Source: RNAcentral